This 204-nucleotide ribosomal RNA is filed under the name uncultured bacterium. RNAcentral describes it as "partial 16S ribosomal RNA". It matches the Rfam family "Bacterial small subunit ribosomal RNA", at positions 1296 to 1500 of the family's 1533-position model. The record is from RNAcentral.
GAUUGCAGGCUGCAACUCGCCUGCAUGAAGUCGGAAUUGCUAGUAAUCGUAGGUCAGCAUACUACGGUGAAUACGUUCCCGGGCCUUGUACACACCGCCCGUCACACCAUGAGAGUUGGGAAUACCCGAAGCCUGUGAGCUAACUUUACGAGGUAGCAGUCGAAGGUAGAAUCAAUGAUUGGGGUGAAGUCGUAACAAGGUAAC